CAACUUCACAGAAAGAGCGAGAUAAAUAACCAACAAGCUAAUGUAAAACAAUAUUUACAGAUUAUAGCAUGAGUAAAGGGGGAAAGGAAGGUACCAUAACUCCCAUCAUCAUUACGUCGCCAAUAGCGGACAUAACAUAGGUCACGAGGCCCUUCAUUUUCAGAAAUGGGCUAUUGACCAGAAUUUGGCUGCCUGUGAGAGCUUGAAACUGAACCAUCCACAGACGCAGGUCAGAAUACUUUUGGUGCCAACUGCUAGUUCAUUUUAAGGAGAAUGAUGCCAAAUCUGAUGUUGCUGUCUUUGUUUACAGGUUAGGAAUGACUCUGCUGGAGAUUUCCUCCAACUUUUGAAGGAGUGGGGUAAAUUAUGCAAGCGCUAUGUGCGUAACAAUGGUCAUACAACUGAUACAUUAAACCCCGAAAAUUCAACAAAGGAAGCCACUGAAAGUAGCUCUUCUACUGAAGAUGAUUCAGAACCUGAGGAGUACGAAGUUGAAAAGCUGGUUGAUAUAUGCUAUGGUGAUCCUGACAAGACAGGAGAACGUGGCCUAAAGUUUAAGGUAUGGCAAGAGGACAUGUCACAAUUUUGUUGUUGAUCGACUUUACUCUUUAGUCUUUACGGGUUUAAGAAUGUUCUUUUCACCUUCUACAACUUGCAAGAUAGAUAUUCUUCAUGUCUUUGCUCUCUUGCGACAUAGAAUUUAUGCUCAUGACUAUUUUAUCAGGUGCACUGGAAAGGAUAUAGCAGCAACGAAGAUACUUGGGAGCCAGCAAAGGAAUUGAGGUAUAUGAUUUAAAUUAAUGCUAAAAAGGGUCUCUGUUGUUUAUCCCGAUCUAAUUAAUAUUGUUUGAAAUUUUAGCAAUUGUCAAGAUGCCAUCCGGGAGUUUGUAACAAGUGGAUUCAAGAAGAAUAUCUUGCCACUUCCUGUAAGAUCGUUUCCUUUCAUCUAAAUUGAAUGUUUGAUCUUUGAAAAUUGUAUGAGUGUAGUACCAUCAACAUCUUAUUUCACUGAAAUCAGAAAAUUUUGUAAAUGAAUGUUAAUCCAGGGCGGUGUUGGCGUGAUAUGUGGUGGACCUCCAUGUCAAGGAAUUAGUGGCUAUAACCGCUUCAGGGAUGUUGAUUCUCCGUUGACUGAUGAAAGGAAUCAGCAAAUUGUAGUUUUCAUGGACAUAGUUGAGUAUCUGAAACCCAAAUUCGUGUUGAUGGAAAACGUUGUUGAUAUUCUGCGUUUGGACAAAGGUUCUCUUGGGAGGUACGCUUUGAGCCGUCUUGUGGACAUGAGAUACCAAGCGAGGCUAGGUAUCAUAACAGCUGGUUGCUAUGGUCUUUCCCAAUUUCGUUCCCGAGUUUUCAUGUGGGGAGCUGAUCCAAACAUGGUGAGUUUAUUAUAUGCCUACUUUUAACUUCCUCCUCCUGACUGUUUCCACGUUAAAAAUAAUUUGGUAUUAUAUUCCAGAAACUGCCUCCGUUUCCGCUUCCAACCCAUGAUGUUAUUGUCAGAUAUGGGUUUCCUCUCGAGUUCGAGGUAACAUUACUGUAAACUGGUGAUUACUUCGUACUCUUUGCCUGAGCCCUGGCGUUCUCCCAACUCAACCCAUCUUGGCUUUCAUGUUUCAGAGGAAUGUAGUUGCUUACAGUGAAGGUCAGCCCAGAGAUGUUGAAACAGCUCUUGUUCUAAAAGAUGCGAUAUCAGAUCUUCCUCAUGUAAGUUUCAUAUCCAUUAGAUCCAUGUGCAGUUCAGGGUUAAUCCCAUAGAUUUCUAAUUUUCUUUCAUUUCACAACUCUAGGUGUCAAACAACGAAACCCGGGAAAGAAUGUCCUAUGAAAGUCUCCCAGAGACAGAUUUCCAGAGAUACAUUAGAUCAACCAAACACGGUAAGUUGGACCUGUCUGGAAUUUUAGAAUUAAGAGUCUCAGAAAUGACUACUCACUCGCAUAUUCCAUAAGUUACUCAGGCGUUAGCGUUUUGCUUUGUCAGAUAUGACUGGCUCUGCGACUGAUAACUGUACAAAAAGGACGAUGCAACUGUAUGAUCACAGGCCGUCCCUUUUGUCUGAAGAUGAUUAUAACCGAGUUUGUCAAAUCCCAAAGAAGAAGGUAGUCACUUCUUUCUACUAACCAGUAUUCCGGCAGAGCAACAUUCUCACCGUAGAUAAUUUUGCAGGGAGCUAAUUUCAGGGAUCUUCCAGGGUUAAUCGUCAGAAACGACAAUACAGUCUGCCGUGAUCCAUCAAUGGAACCUGUCCUUCUGCCAUCAGGAAAACGUUUGGUAAAGACUCCUCUUAUAUAAGUAGAACCAUAUCAAAAAAUGUAGCUAUUGACAUGCUACUUGUUAAGUCUGCUGAUUGAACACUUGUAGAAAUUUUAGAAACGAAUAUAUGUAUAUAAAAUCAGCUGACGUGUGGCCCUCUUUAGGUACCAGAAUAUGUCUUUACUUUUCAGCAAGGGAAAUCUAAAAGGUAAUUUUCUUGAAACAAUUUGUUGAGCAUUCCUAUGUGUUUCUAAGUCUCUCUGGAUUUCUGGUAUGGCAGACCGUUUGCGCGUCUUUGGUGGGACGAAACAGUUCCAACCGUUCUGACAGUCCCCAGCUGCAGCAAUCAGGUAUCCUUAAACUCACCACCCAUGUAGAUCUCACUUGAAACCCAUCUUUUAUGUUCUUUAACAUUCAGUUUUCGCUAUUUACAGGCGUUUUUGCAUCCAGAGCAAGAUCGAAUACUAACCAUAAGAGAAGCCGCACGGCUUCAAGGUUUCCCUGAUUACUUCCAGUUCUGUGGAACCGUUAAACAAAGGUACUUUACUUGUUUUCUUUUGUAAAAAAGUCUAAAAAAAAAUAGCAGAGAUAAUAGUGUGACAGAUUCCUUAGCGAAUCUCACUCACUGCUUUUGGUUUUGUACAGGUACUGUCAGAUUGGAAAUGCAGUGGCGGUCUCGGUUUCUCGUGCUUUGGGCUAUUCUCUAGGUAUGACUUUCCGUGGUCUAGCCGGUGACGAGAAUAUGAUAAAACUUCCCCAGAAGUUUUCUCAUUCAAGUUACCUUCAGCUUCAAGAAUCCAUUCCUCACUAAAAUUAUGUAGUUGUACGACUUGGAAAGUCAAUAGCAGCAGAAAUGUUGUACCUUUUACCAUUUAUUUCUCUACACGAGGGUUGAGCUAAACGAAGACGUUCUGAGCUCAAACUCUUAUCAAUUUUUCUCAUCAAACUACAAAUUUUGUUGAUUAGUUAUGGCUGAUAAAACCAUGUUUAAUUUUUUUAAAAAAAUUUCUUUCAUUUUACAUGUGUUUAGUGUAAGCUUGAAGUAAACCCACUAUGCUUAUUUUUAUUCAAAAAGAGACUUUAAAAUGAUUUGAGCUCAUAAAGGCGUGAACCUAGCGCUAAUGACAAGGGCCAAUGACUAAUAGGAAAAAAAUUACAACAAUUAAAAACCAAGGAUAACAAAUGCCUUGGCUUUGAAUGCUUUGGUUAAAAGGAAAACCCGUGGGAUCUCUUUAUCUUACAGCUUCUAUGGCUUAUUAGUCUUCUAACAACUCCUUUGGUAAUACCAAAUUGGUAUGUACCAAAUCCUUAUAAAGCCUAGAGGCAUGUAAUCAUUGUCCCUUCAAUGCCAUUGUAAACUUGGCUACUCUAUGCCAAUGAAUGGGUCGAUUACCAAGCAAAAUAGAAGUUGCACAUUGUAACGAGAUAUGUAAUAAACUAUUUUUUUUCACUAUGAAUUGAUAUUACAAAAAUAAAAAAAAAGAUGUAUCGAAACAAAGAUGGGAAAAGAAAAGAAGACGUGAUAAAGAAUUGACCAUUUCAAAGAGCAACCAAACACUUUUAUGUGACAGAAAAUAUAUGAAAGUUUGAUGGUAAUUUUUUCUGAAGUGGUUGUUAAGGAGUCAAUACACUAUUUUAUUAAUCUGACUCCAGAUUCGGAACUAUAGCCGAAGAGAGCUCUAUAUGCGAAACCCGAACCGCACCGAUGAGCCUUUCCGGCAACUCCUCCGGUGUAUUUGCCUGCAAAACCGAACCAUAUUUGUUUUAUACAUUAUAACAGUAACCCCAACUACUUGAGCAAAAAAAAACAUAUGAUAUUAUGUGUCCGUUUGUUACCUACCUGUACAAGGAAAGCCAUUUCGACAACCAACGAUGUGAUUACACCAAUGACGAGACCCAGAACUCCAUUUGCAACAGUUGAUGAACCAAUAUCCACGUCGAUCUAACAAAUGAACACGAUACAAUCAUUGUGUUAUUAAUGUUUACAGAGAGAGCUUUCAUAUUCAAUGCAUGUUCACUCACUUCUAAGUAUGUCGGGCCACGAAUGUAGUUGCAGUCCACUGCUUUCCCGAGGAGACAUGGGGUGCUUCCCACGCUUUGCCGUACUAUCCAUGACCCCUGUUAUAGAUUUCGGUUAUAAUAUGGAAAAAAAUAAUGUGAAUAUAUACUUGCAGUAGUAAUCACACAAACAAAGAGAGAUAAAACAUACCUUAGGAACUUGAGGUAUAAGCUUUAGCCGGCUAUUUCGAAAUUCAUCGUCACCAUCAACAAAACGUUGCAACAGGGACCCAGGUACAAGUUCUUUCGUCACGAAAUAAAACACCAUACUGUAGUGUGUUGACCCCGGAACCUAUUAUUGAAAAAAACAGUUUUAAACGUGUAUAAAUAUGACUUUGUGGUUUGUGCAUUACGUUUAGAAUCUUAAUAAUAGUUUGGGGCCAAACUUACUUGAACAUUAACCACCAUCGAGAAUAGACCUUUCUCUGCAGCAACCUGAACAUUGUUUAUCGAAAGACUCAAUAAUCUUUCAUGGAGAUUUCUUUCUAAGCGAUAAAGAUGAAUCCACAAGCAAGAGUAUAAAUAACAUAGGAAGUAUUUGAAUAUUCUUACUUGUGCUGCGCAGCCUUUACGCCUAGCCACAUGAUCUAUUCUUUUACUGUCUUUGAACCAGCCUAAAUGCUCAGUAUUUAAACCUCUUGUUCUGAUUCAGCGAUCUGAAACUCAUCAUCAUCAUCUGAGUCUUCAUCCAGGAGCACGGAGUUUCUGUUGGCAGAGUUUGUUUGAUCAACAGAAAAUGCAGACUGGUGCACAGACCUUCCGCUCUUACUCAAGCUCAAGGAGGAAGAUGCCAUAUUAACCAUAACAGGGAUCCUGGUAUGAACACCUCUCUCAUCUGUCUGUGAAAACCAUUCCCGCAAACCUGCCAUGAGCACGAGACAAUGUAUUACAACGGAUGCUAAUAAAUUAGCCAGUGGAUUUCUUUUGAAAGAAAGCAUGAAAGAGUCUUCUGAAACCGCAUAAGAAACCAUCGGAGGUAUUAGAUAAGCCUAAUGAGCUCGAAGUAGGAAGCUUAAACUUAAUGAUAGGGUGCUCACCUGUUUUCUUGACAUCAGUCUCUGUUUUACUUGUUUCAGGCUGAAACAGUACACAAGAAUAACUAUUCAAUUCCAGAUGAUGCUUAAUAUUAGAAAAAAAAACCUAAAUGCUCAGUAUUUAAACCUCUUGUUCUGAUUCAGCGAUCUGAAACUCAUCAUCAUCAUCUGAGUCUUCAUCCAGGAGCACGGAGUUUCUGUUGGCAGAGUUUGUUUGAUCAACAGAAAAUGCAGACUGGUGCACAGACCUUCCGCUCUUACUCAAGCUCAAGGAGGAAGAUGCCAUAUUAACCAUAACAGGGAUCCUGGUAUGAACACCUCUCUCAUCUGUCUGUGAAAACCAUUCCCGCAAACCUGCCAUGAGCACGAGACAAUGUAUUACAACGGAUGCUAAUAAAUUAGCCAGUGGAUUUCUUUUGAAAGAAAGCAUGAAAGAGCUUACCAGCAACACUGUUCAGCAUUUGAAGAAGACAAUGUUGUUGAAAUGCUGGAAGAUAGCCUGCACCCCACCCUUUUAGAUCAAUUUGUAUUAGGUGUUGCACCUGUGUUCUAGGCCUCCCAUUUCGGGGCUUUAGCGGGGCAAUAUUAUAUCCUCCACCUAAGUUUAACAAAAGUAGGACGGGUUAGAUAGUAGUAGAUCCACGAUCAUAUUAAGCGUUCAGACAUUCUUUGAGUUUGCUAAGCUUACUCUCGAGAUGAGCACGGACACAUCCAGGUUGUGGACCACAAUUAUCAUGCUCCCUAGAACGGAACAGCACAACUUCACAGAAAGAGCGAGAUAAAUAACCAACAAGCUAAUGUAAAACAAUAUUUACAGAUUAUAGCAUGAGUAAAGGGGGAAAGGAAGGUACCAUAACUCCCAUCAUCAUUACGUCGCCAAUAGCGGACAUAACAUAGGUCACGAGGCCACACAACCCUGGAGCCAUUUGAAUCAAUUAGCAUAAAAGUAAGCUUCUCAAACUAGUAAAGUAAUAUUCUGACCAGAAACAGAAAGAUCACAAAUGCUAACAAUAACUAUAAUCCUGAAUUGUUCCCCUGGAGUUAUUGGAGCAUAUGAGAUCUAAUCAGUUGGAAUCAAAAUCACUU
Molecule: long non-coding RNA, 6429 nt
Filed under: Brassica napus (rape)
Lineage: Eukaryota; Viridiplantae; Streptophyta; Magnoliopsida; Brassicales; Brassicaceae
Description: long non-coding RNA (BNAP_LNC009338)
Source: RNAcentral